CAGUAGCCGCGGUAAAACGUAGGUGGCAAGCGUUGUCCGGAAUUAUUGGGCGUAAAGGGCUCGCAGGCGGUUUCUUAAGUCUGAUGUGAAAGCCCCCGGCUCAACCGGGGAGGGUCAUUGGAAACUGGGAAACUUGAGUGCAGAAGAGGAGAGUGGAAUUCCACGUGUAGCGGUGAAAUGCGUAGAGAUGUGGAGGAACACCAGUGGCGAAGGCGACUCUCUGGUCUGUAACUGACGCUGAGGAGCGAAAGCGUGGGGAGCGAACAGGAUUAGAUACCCGAGUAGUCCCUGUCUCUUAUAC
Molecule: ribosomal RNA, 301 nt
Filed under: uncultured bacterium
Lineage: Bacteria
Description: partial 16S ribosomal RNA
Rfam family: Bacterial small subunit ribosomal RNA
Source: RNAcentral